CGCCCCACAGGUCGCUUCGCUGGACGCCCGCCUUCCCGCGCUGCCCGCCUUUGUGUUUGGUCAGGCGCGGUCGUCGACCCCCGGGCCCUGUGGGAUGGUGGACGCGUCACCGCCGCGCUCGCGACGAGCCCGAGAGAACCUUCCAGAACCUCCCAGAACCUUCUAGUUCGGGUGCCACACAGUCGUACGUGCCCACCCCAAAGCCAGCCCUCCCGUAUGUGCCCACUUCGGGCCCGCUUGCCCGCAGUGCAGGGAGGCCGACUGACGUCCGCUCCUGGUGACAGCCAUGCUGGCCACGUGGAGAGUCCUACAGCCCAUGUGCUCUCUGGGCCUCUGCCCCGGUAACCAGGGGUCGCACUGUCCUGGGGAGCCCUGGCCAGGGGGCCCGCACGGCUUUUGCUCUCCCAGUGGCCGGUGCUUCCGGGUGAGCCAGGCUGGCAGGUUGUGCCGAGGUCGCCAGGGCCUAAGGAGAGAUGAGGCAUGGGGAGGUCAGGGUGUUCCUCCAGGUCCCCGAUCCUCCCAUCCAGGCGCUGCUGACUCGGCUGGGUAAACGUUCCUGGGGGCCCAAGCGCGGCUCAGCCACACCCGGUGGGUGCUGGUGAGGAUUAACAAAGAGAAGAGGAAUCACCGUCCCUCUUGCAGAGUGUGGGACAGGUGGACAGGCUUGGCAGUGCAGGCAGCGGGAGGUGGGAGCCCUGGGACCCUGCAGUUGCCACUCCGGAGACUUUCCCUAGGCACAGAGUCAGAUGCACUGGAGGUACUCCUUCAGGGACAAUUCCUGCAGCGUUGCUUGUGUCCUGGAAUCAGAGUCUGAAUGUCCAACAACAGCAGCGCGGCUCUCCGAGUGCACAGUGGAGAUCAUCUCAGGACAUCUAAAGCAACAGGAGCAACGUGUCUUGGCCAUUCCCAGGGAAGGGGAGAGUUUUAAUUAAGGCCGCGGCUGACUGGCAGGCAGGAUGGAGCCCAAGAAAGCGUAUUCUCCGCGGUGCUGCCAGUCACUUGUGCUGCAUUAGAAGAAGACCCUUCAGUACAGCCGCAAAUCUUUAUAAACAAGCAUUUGAUGAUACUUGAUGAUGGGCUGGGCAUACAGUGGUGAGGAAAACAGCACUUGGGGAGCUCACAGUCUACUGGAGAAGACAUCUCAUAAAAUACUGACAUUUAAGCGCUUUAUACUGGCUCAAUAUGAGUACUAACUUAUUUAAUGCAAUGUUAAACCCUGAAAUGUUAGCAUAUAAUUAUCUCAUUGUUUGCACUUCCCAGCCUCCAGAACUGUGAGAAAAUAAUUUUUUUUCUGUAAAUUA
Molecule: long non-coding RNA, 1301 nt
Organism: Sciurus carolinensis (gray squirrel)
Lineage: Eukaryota; Metazoa; Chordata; Mammalia; Rodentia; Sciuridae
Exons: 2
Source: RefSeq, a predicted model, not a curated record